This 2180-nucleotide unclassified non-coding RNA is filed under the name Cyanidioschyzon merolae strain 10D. RNAcentral describes it as "hypothetical transcript". Lineage: Eukaryota; Rhodophyta; Bangiophyceae; Cyanidiales; Cyanidiaceae. The record is from RNAcentral.
AAACGACUCCGCUUCAGUGAAGCUCCUGCGGAUCACCUCUUCGACCUGCACGCGCUCCGUUCGAAUCAAGUUCAGUAUCAUGUUGUAGGAGAGGCGGAACUGGCUUGAAAGCCGGGGUGGCACUCCUGUCAUAGUGCGUUUCAGGUCUAGCUCAGUCGGGAGUUCGCCUACGGAGAAGAAGAGGAUCACGAUGCCAUAGGCGUCGAGGCCCCGGCGACCGGCUCGCCCGCUCAUCUGGGUAUAUUCACCAGGACUCAGCAGUCGAUACUGCCUUCCAUCGUGUUUGCGAAUGCCGCUGAAGACGACGGUGCGUGCGGGCAUAUUCACACCCAUGGCGAACGUCUCGGUGGCGAAGAGGACCCGCACGAGGCCCCGUUGAAAUAAAAUUUCCGUCAUCUCUUUCACGAUGGGCAGCAGUCCGGCAUGGUGGAUGCCGAUGCCUCGGUGCAGGAGGUCACGAACUCUUUGAAUCUGUGGAACACGCCGAUCCGCCGCUUGCAAGCGCGAGAGUGCCGACUCGACCACAACGUGGAUCCGAUGCGCUUCGCCCGGGUUCUGCUGGUGUAGAUUCAAUGUACCAAGGCUGUCCGCUGCCUCUUCACAUCUCUUGCGAGAGAAACAGAAAACUACUGCCGGUAGAAGCUCUCGUUUGCGCAGGAACUGCACCAAUGUACCCCAGGCUGGGCGUCCUAGUAUCCCAGCAGGUGCCAGGUGCGCUUUCGCUCCGCGCUUGGCGACGAGUUCCCGCUCCACAUCCUGAGCGGCCUUGUAGCCCUGUGAGAGAAAAUCCCCUCGUGCAUUUUUCACGAGAAUGAGAUCGUUCUUCGCGUAGAUAUAAUGCUGAAGCGGCACUGGUCGGUGGCUCGUCGUGAUGACAUACACAGGUCUCUGUUUGCAGCGUCCAACCCAGUCGGCAAAUUCUUGCGCGUUCGGCACCGUUGCCGAAAGCAUGAUGAUGUUGACGUGUUCCGGCAGCAGAAUGAUGACCUCCUCCCAGACGACACCACGCUCUUCAUCGUUCACGUAGUGGACUUCAUCGAAGAUGACCCACUCGACGUCCCGAAUGAGGUCGGCACCCCGGUAGAGCAUCGAGCGCAGAAUCUCUGUUGUCAUGAUUAGACAGGGAGCCGUUGGCUGGAUGCAGACAUCGCCCGUGAUCAAACCAAUUGACUCCGAACCAAAACGAUCACUAAAAUCCCGAAACUUUUGAUUGCUGAGCGUCUUGAUGGGACUCGUGUAAAUUGCCUUGGUUGCAUGAGCGCGAGCCAGCGCAAUCGCGUAUUCAGCAACCACUGUCUUCCCUGCAGAGGUGUGAGCUGCGACAAAGACGCUCUCUCCGCGCUCAAUGUGCAGAAUGGCCUGCUUCUGGAAGCGAUCUAGUUCAAAGGGAAACUCGAGUGCUGGCUUUGGGACGCGUUGCGCAAAGUCCACUGGAUCCGACUCGUCGACCAGCGCAUAGACAGAGCGCCGGGCUGGCUUUCCUCCUCCUCCUGCUGCUGCUACUGCUGAUACAUUUGGCAUAUUAGUUGAUGCACCAAUGCCGAGGUCGCUUUGCUGUUGUUCGGGUCGGAGAAGCUCUUCCAGUGAGCGCUCGACUGAGGCCAGACGUGCAUCCAGUCGAUCAAGCGCGGGCAGAGAAGGAACCGCACGCGGUGGAUCAGUUGCAGUUUCCAGCGUCCUUGCCGUAGCAAUCCGAGGCGUUCUAGCAGCCGUCGAUUCCUCAGGUUCUUCCUCUAGUUGCUCGAGUCGAAUACCGAAAAGGAUCUCAUCGCCUUGCUCAGGUUCGAAGGCUUGUGCCCAGGAAAAUCCGGGUUGCCGGCUUCUCUCCAUGACUCGACCUGUGAAGGCGAGUCCACCGAGUUCAUCCGCAUCGCCGGCGAUGUAGGCAAGGGCACUUCCUCCAUUGGGGUUACUGAUCGACUCGCGUGCUCGUCGCUGCUCCAAAGACUGCAGGUAUGCUUCAUCAAGAUGUAUUCGAUCAAGAAGGUUCUGCUUGGUCUGUCUCCGAGGUACCCAAUUGAGCUGGCUAGGUGGCUGUGUUGCUGGCAUCCAGAGAGGCGGAUUCCACUUCUGGAUACGCUCUACACAUACGUUCCACCAGUCCGAAUCGUUGCGUUCGUCUGAAGCGUCCGGCCUGCUCGGCAGCUGGUCAUCUACUUGCCCGGAUAAAGACACAACCG